Molecule: ribosomal RNA, 484 nt
Filed under: uncultured bacterium
Lineage: Bacteria
Description: partial 16S ribosomal RNA
Rfam family: Bacterial small subunit ribosomal RNA
Source: RNAcentral
AUUGAACGCUGGCGGCAGGCCUAACACAUGCAAGUCGAGCGGAUGAAGGGAGCUUGCUCCUGGAUUCAGCGGCGGACGGGUGAGUAAUGCCUAGGAAUCUGCCUGGUAGUGGGGGAUAACGUCCGGAAACGGGCGCUAAUACCGCAUACGUCCUGAGGGAGAAAGUGGGGGAUCUUCGGACCUCACGCUAUCAGAUGAGCCUAGGUCGGAUUAGCUAGUUGGUGGGGUAAAGGCCUACCAAGGCGACGAUCCGUAACUGGUCUGAGAGGAUGAUCAGUCACACUGGAACUGAGACACGGUCCAGACUCCUACGGGAGGCAGCAGUGGCGAAUAUUGGACAAUGGGCGAAAGCCUGAUCCAGCCAUGCCGCGUGUGUGAAGAAGGUCUUCGGAUUGUAAAGCACGUUAAGUUGGGAGGAAGGGCAGUAAGUUAAUACCUUGCUGUUUUGACGUUACCAACAGAAUAAGCACCGGCUAACUUCGUG